GCUUGUCUCAAAGAUUAAGCCAUGCAUGUCUAAGUGUAAAUAAGUCUAUACUGUGAAACUGCGAAUGGCUCAUUAAAUCAGUUAUCGUUUAUUUGAUGAUCUCUUACUACUUGGAUAACCGUAGUAAUUCUAGAGCUAAUACAUGCACAAAAUCCCGACUUACGAAGGGAUGUAUUUAUUAGAUACAAACCAACAUCGUGGUGAUUCAUAAUAACCUAUCGGACCGAAUGGCCUUGCGCCGUCGGUGCAUCAUUCAAAUUUCUGCCCUAUCAAUUUGUUGGUAGUAUAUAGGACUACCAAGAUGAUUACGGGUAACGGAGAAUUAGGGUUUGAUUCCGGAGAGGGAGCCUGAGAAACGGCUACCACAUCUAAGGAAGGCAGCAGG
Molecule: ribosomal RNA, 385 nt
Filed under: uncultured Katablepharidophyta
Lineage: Eukaryota; Cryptophyceae; Kathablepharidacea
Description: partial small subunit ribosomal RNA
Rfam family: Eukaryotic small subunit ribosomal RNA
Source: RNAcentral